UACGGAGGGUGCAAGCGUUAAUCGGAAUUACUGGGCGUAAAGCGUGCGCAGGCGGUUUGUUAAGUCUGCUGUGAAAUCCCCGAGCUCAACUUGGGAAUUGCAGUAGAUACUGGCAGGCUGGAGUAUGGUAGAGGAAGGUGGAAUUCCCGGUGUAGCAGUGAAAUGCGUAGAGAUCGGGAGGAACACCAGUGGCGAAGGCGGCCUUCUGGACCAAUACUGACGCUCAUGCACGAAAGCGUGGGGAGCAAACAGG
Molecule: ribosomal RNA, 253 nt
Filed under: uncultured bacterium
Lineage: Bacteria
Description: partial 16S ribosomal RNA
Rfam family: Bacterial small subunit ribosomal RNA
Source: RNAcentral